AAAUAAGAAUUAUAAUAUAAUUAAUUUUAAUUUCGACUUAAAAAUAGGAUUGCUUAAUCCCUUAUUUU
This 68-nucleotide transfer RNA is filed under the name Hydromanicus wulaianus. Its description in RNAcentral is "tRNA-Arg". Lineage: Eukaryota; Metazoa; Arthropoda; Insecta; Trichoptera; Hydropsychidae. The record is from RNAcentral.